AGCGGCUACUAUGAGGUCACGCGGGAAACCGACCGCG
This 37-nucleotide small RNA is filed under the name Acididesulfobacillus acetoxydans. RNAcentral's name for it is "CRISPR spacer". The record is from RNAcentral. Lineage: Bacteria; Bacillati; Bacillota; Clostridia; Eubacteriales; Peptococcaceae.